This is a long non-coding RNA of Culex pipiens pallens (northern house mosquito), 660 nucleotides long. RefSeq lists it as uncharacterized. NCBI's taxonomy places the organism in Eukaryota, Metazoa, Arthropoda, Insecta, Diptera, Culicidae. The transcript has 3 exons. The record is from RefSeq and is a predicted model, not a curated record.
CUCCGUUAGUAACGAAUCGGAAGCGUGCCGGUAAAGUUUGGAAAAAGUGAACCAAGAGUUUAUUGAAACAGGAUAGCUCGAGCAGUUUUGGGCGUCAAGUUGAAUUUAAAACUGAUUAAGGAUUCUCAUUGAAGAUUAGAGCAGAAACAACUCUUUUUGAAUUGGUUUUAGAUCUUAAAAAUGGCUGAUGUCGUGAAAAAAGUAAUCCCAUUCCUUUUUGAUAUCUUCAAGAACACUUCUGGGGAAUAUGAACUAGAAAUUGCACAAAGACGCAAGCUAGAACGUGACCAGAGCGCUUUCAAUCGGGCCAUAUCAGAGGAAGGAGCCCUUCUAAAACUGCGCCAAAGCAAGCUUCAGGCCCGUAACGAUGAGUUGCAGAGCGGCCAACAGAAGUUGCAAGACGAGCUGGCCAUCACUAGAGCCAAGGUAAAAAAGCUCGAAAAUUCUACGGGAGAAAUGCGACGUUUGUUUCAUUUUGUAACAAUGAUAUUUGUAUUUGUAAUUAUAUUUGCAUACCUAUUAAGGGCGUAGACGGUGUCAUUCACUCUUGGGGCAAGGACUGUCAAUAUUCAAUAUGAAUUCAGGGUCCAGAAAUAAUAAAUUGAAAGGAAAAAAAAAACAACGAAAUAAAGAAAACCAUUUUUUGAUUCUAAAUCAAGA